RNAcentral lists this unclassified non-coding RNA (50 nucleotides) under Pseudodiaptomus poplesia. Its description in RNAcentral is "partial trans-spliced leader sequence". Lineage: Eukaryota; Metazoa; Arthropoda; Copepoda; Calanoida; Pseudodiaptomidae. The record is from RNAcentral.
AUUGUCUUAAACGACCAAGCUAAUAUUUGCUUGAUUCACUUCUACAAGAG